RNAcentral lists this long non-coding RNA (1254 nucleotides) under Homo sapiens (human). Its description in RNAcentral is "HSALNT0404199". The record is from RNAcentral. Lineage: Eukaryota; Metazoa; Chordata; Mammalia; Primates; Hominidae.
GAGUUGAGCAGUCCCCUGGGGCAGCUAGCUGUGCUGUGGAGAUGCACACAGCUUGAACUGACUCGAUAUUCUUUUUUUUUCAUCAGGUGUCAUCUUGCUGGAGGGCAGAAGGAUUCCCUGGAACCUGGGGGCCAGCAGGACAGAGGAAACAGAAAGUACAUGACCGAUGAUGUCUUUCGACCACAGAAAGGGCUGGAAGAAGCAGGGGACCUACUGUUUGAAUAAACCCAGUGGAAAAACAGAAGCCCCAUUUCAUACUUGACUCAGCUCUUCAAGUUUAAAUCUUGAAUCUCCUCAACUACACGGAACAGUGUCUCUCCCAAGUCAUCUGACACCCACUCUGUUCUCUGGAUCAUUCCUUCCUAGAGAACGUUGCUCUUGGAGGGCUGUGAUCUGCUCUCACCCACUUGCCUUUCUGACCCACUGAGUGCAUCUCAACAGUCACUUGGGGUGAUCCGAUCUGACCAGGAAGGGUUGGGUGGCUCGUGGAGCUUGGGAAGCACUCUCACUGUGGCGGUCCCCAUUGGUGGUCAUGGGGUUGCCACAGUGAGCUACGUUUCUACCCUCAUCUCUCUAUAUGUUACCGUGGAAUCUCUGACUGAGGACCCAUGGGCUCACCCAAUGUGAUAAAGUCCUGAAGCUCAGCCGGGACGUCCGACCCCAGCUGCAGGACUUUCCAAUAGACAGAUGCAUAGAACUUGAGAAGAAAUCGACUUAGAAACCUGAAGUUGGAAAACUGGUUGCCUGACAUUCUGUGCAAGACUGAAUCUCUGAGAAAUGAAGGCUGUGUAACUUUGGGACCAUGUCUUUUCCAGCCUACAUAGACCCCCAGGAAACUUUGCAGUUGUUCCCCAAGUAUGGAUGGAGUCAAACUUGAUGUCCUUUCAUCCCCCCAUCCCAUCCACUAAUCCAUAUCCUUUGGAAAUUUUAGAGUGCCGGGCCUCAUGUAAAUACACCAAAAACAAUUUAAGUCAUUUAUGUUCUACUAAGCCAAGAGUUCUUUAGCGGUGGAAGAAGAUGGGGUCUUACACGAAUGGAAGGGUCUUGGCUAUUUGCGUCGGUAUCAACAGAAGGACUAGACGCUUGCACUAAAAGAAAAAGCUGAGGGAUGGGGGCAGGAAGCGGGAAGCUGGGACCCAAGCCCCACCUUCCUGAGUUGGAAGGUGACAGGUAGACUCCUGCUUGUUUGCCAGAGAGGCCUGGCAGAGGAGUGACAGGGUUUCAAUCUGCAGUGGCAACAUCUCUGCAACCCUG